Molecule: unclassified non-coding RNA, 238 nt
Filed under: Hevea brasiliensis (rubber tree)
Lineage: Eukaryota; Viridiplantae; Streptophyta; Magnoliopsida; Malpighiales; Euphorbiaceae
Source: RNAcentral
AUUUCAGUCCCAGAGGAAAGGUAUUACCAUUGCAAUGAGCUAGCAGAUGGAGAUUACGGGAACGUGAGUGGUGAGAGGUUAUCAAUCGACGAUGCAAACAAUGUUCAGCAUCUAGGAGCCCCAAUUUUGGCUUCAAAAUUUGCUGCAAAUACUAGAAGAGGGACUCAUCAGAAAGUUAAAGUUGAUUCUGCGUCCUCCAGCUUAAAGAUGCCCCAGUUGUUUAAGCUGGAGGACGCAG